CUGGCCGUAAACGAUGGAUACUAGGUGUGGGAGGUAUCGACCCCUUCCGUGCCGGAGUUAACGCAAUAAGUAUCCCGCCUGGGGAGUACGGCCGCAAGGCUGAAACUCAAAGGAAUUGAC
This 120-nucleotide ribosomal RNA is filed under the name uncultured bacterium. Its description in RNAcentral is "partial 16S ribosomal RNA". It matches the Rfam family "Bacterial small subunit ribosomal RNA", at positions 796 to 914 of the family's 1533-position model. The record is from RNAcentral.